This is a long non-coding RNA of Rana temporaria (common frog), 1281 nucleotides long. RefSeq lists it as uncharacterized. The transcript has 4 exons. The record is from RefSeq and is a predicted model, not a curated record. NCBI's taxonomy places the organism in Eukaryota, Metazoa, Chordata, Amphibia, Anura, Ranidae.
UUUUUCAUUAACCUUCCCUCAGAUAAGACAGUGUAAAAAUAAGCCAUUGGAUGUCCAGCUGAGAGAAAUCAGUAGUAUAUUCUAAUAUAUUUCUUCAUAGUUAAAUACACGCGUUAUUGCGUAUAACUUAUUAUUAGUGUUUAUUAAAAAAAUUUUCUUUUUGCGUUUUCUGAGCUCUGAACCAUUCCAUUUAACAUGGGGAGGGAUUCCUGAUGCGGAGGGAGGUCGGAUCCUGCACAGCCUUGGUGUGGCCAAUCACAGGUCCCAACACAGGGGGCGUGCUCUCUUCAAUGCCUCCCGUCCCUAUUAUUAACAUCUGAUGGGACGCGCGCGCAUAUCCGGCCACUAUUUCGUCUCUGGCCGGUCUGAGACUGUUAAUACAUGUCUCCUUCCUAUGCGCUCCAGCUUACAUCAUCACGCUGGAGCGCAUGGGAUGCGCGCGCAAGUGUCUUGGGACACGUGGACCGGAUAUGACGCCAGGGGUCAUGCUUGACUCUCUUCACUUCCGGUGGAGAUGUUGCUCUUAAGGUCAGCGCUGACACAGUGUGUGUCAGACGCCGACUUGGACGGCUUGAGGGAGGAUAUCACGCCACACAUGCAACGCUGCCUUACUUAGCCUCGCGGUGUUAAGACAUAAAUAAGAAUCGCAGUAUAAACAACAUAUAUAACUGCCCUUGGACUAUUCUACAGCAUUGUCUUUGGUUAUAAUACUACUGGGAUAUUAUAUCCCCCUAGGACAUCAGCAUAUUUUACUAGAUACUUCAUGUCAUUAACCAUCUAAGAGCUUACCGUGAAUCCAGUGUGAACUCUGCUGGACUCUACUAGCAGUAUUGAGCUUAUAUCCAAACUUCACUACUAUUGAGGAGAGAAAUAGAUACAACGUAUUCUUACCUGUAUCUCUUCCUCCUUAACUGUGGUGAACCCCCUCUUUACAUCUCAUUGUCCGCACCUGCUAAAAUCAAGUGGAUCUGGCCUCCGCUGAUUGAAAGUGCAGCAUCCAAUAUCUCCUGUCCGCAUCAGGUUCGCCUUCGCUAUUUUUCUUGGCAGCUCCUCUUGGUUCUGCCAGGUUCUUUGAGCUCUUUAAACAUAAUUGGUAAGCGCACUAUAUUCUCUUAUUCUUAUUUUAUUAAUUGUAUAUGUGUUGAACACUUAUUUACAAAGUUUAAAGAUACUACAUUGACCCUACCUGAAUUAAUAAUGAACCUUUGUGUCAUACACAGACCACUACAUGUAAUUAAGGAACAGAAGUAUCAUGCAAGCCCUGAUGAAGCACAUCUAGUG